This 447-nucleotide ribosomal RNA is filed under the name uncultured bacterium. Its description in RNAcentral is "bacterial SSU rRNA". It matches the Rfam family "Bacterial small subunit ribosomal RNA", at positions 329 to 793 of the family's 1533-position model. The record is from RNAcentral.
UGCCAGACUCCUACGGGAGGCAGCAGUGGGGAAUAUUGCACAAUGGGGGAAACCCUGAUGCAGCGACGCCGCGUGAGCGAUGAAGUAUUUCGGUAUGUAAAGCUCUAUCAGCAGGGAAGAAGAUGACGGUACCUGACUAAGAAGCCCCGGCUAACUACGUGCCAGCAGCCGCGGUAAUACGUAGGGGGCAAGCGUUAUCCGGAUUUACUGGGUGUAAAGGGAGCGUAGACGGCGGCGCAAGCCAGAUGUGAAAGCCCGGGGCUCAACUCCGGGACUGCAUUUGGAACUGUAUGGCUGGAGUGUCGGAGAGGCAGGCGGAAUUCCUAGUGUAGCGGUGAAAUGCGUAGAUAUUAGGAGGAACACCAGUGGCGAAGGCGGCCUGCUGGACGAUGACUGACGUUGAGGCUCGAAAGCGUGGGGAGCAAACAGGAUUAGAUACCCCAGUAU